Molecule: non-coding RNA, 141 nt
Filed under: Actinacidiphila cocklensis
Lineage: Bacteria; Bacillati; Actinomycetota; Actinomycetes; Kitasatosporales; Streptomycetaceae
Source: RNAcentral
UGACAGAACCGAGCCCUACGCUCGCUGUGUAGUGAUGACUGGGGAAGCUGGUGGAAUUCCAGCACGGUCGCGCCACUGUGACCCGCCGCCGCAACCGGCGUAACGGGGAGUCAGACAGCCGCUCAUCACGACGCCCAUGGA